Molecule: transfer RNA, 73 nt
Filed under: Ovis aries (sheep)
Lineage: Eukaryota; Metazoa; Chordata; Mammalia; Artiodactyla; Bovidae
Rfam family: tRNA
About the family: Transfer RNA (tRNA) molecules are approximately 80 nucleotides in length. Their secondary structure includes four short double-helical elements and three loops (D, anti-codon, and T loops).
Source: Rfam by way of RNAcentral
UUCCUGGAGGUCUAGUUGUUAAGACUCUGUGCUGCCAAUGCAGGGGAAGCAGGUUCAAUCCUGGUCAAGGAAC